GGGUGUAUAGCUCAGUUGGUAGAGCAUCGGACUUUUAAUCCGCUGGUCUUGAGUUCAAAUCUCAAUACACUCA
RNAcentral lists this transfer RNA (73 nucleotides) under Moramonas marocensis. RNAcentral describes it as "tRNA-Lys". It matches the Rfam family "tRNA". Rfam says of the family: Transfer RNA (tRNA) molecules are approximately 80 nucleotides in length. Their secondary structure includes four short double-helical elements and three loops (D, anti-codon, and T loops). The record is from RNAcentral. Lineage: Eukaryota; Jakobea; Jakobida; Moramonadidae.